Molecule: unclassified non-coding RNA, 307 nt
Filed under: plant metagenome
Description: partial contains 5.8S ribosomal RNA, internal transcribed spacer 2, and large subunit ribosomal RNA
Rfam family: 5.8S ribosomal RNA (bases 1-105)
Source: RNAcentral
GAAAUGCGAUAAGUAGUGUGAAUUGCAGAAUUUAGCGAAUCAUCGAAUCUUUGAACGCACAUUGCGCCCCUUGGUAUUCCAUGGGGCAUGCCUGUUCGAGCGUCAUUUCAACCCUCAAGCACUGCUUGGUGUUGGGCGUUUGUCCCGCCUACGCGCGUGGACUCGCCUCAAAGUCAUUGGCAGCUGUUCCCCUUCGGCUCGUAAGCGCAGCACAGUCGGCGCCCGGAGCUCUGGUGGGAUGGCGUCCAGCAAGCUAUAUUUUCAGGCUUGACCUCGGAUCAGGUAGGGAUACCCGCUGAACUUAGGC